RNAcentral lists this ribosomal RNA (585 nucleotides) under uncultured bacterium. Its description in RNAcentral is "partial 16S ribosomal RNA". It matches the Rfam family "Bacterial small subunit ribosomal RNA", at positions 355 to 1375 of the family's 1533-position model. The record is from RNAcentral.
UGGGGAAUUUUGGACAAUGGGCGAAAGCCUGAUCCAGCAAUGCCGCGUGUGUGAAGAAGGCCUUCGGGUUGUAAAGCACUUUUGUCCGGAAAGAAAUCCUUGGCUCUAAUACAGUCGGGGGAUGACGGUACCGGAAGAAUAAGCGCCGGCUAACUACGUGCCAGCAGCCGCGGUAAUACGUAGGGUGCAAGCGUUAAUCGGAAUUACUGGGCGUAAAGCGUGCGCAGGCGGUUUGCUAAGACCGAUGUGAAAUCCCCGGGCUCAACCUGGGAACUGCAUUGGUGACUGGCAGGCUAGAGUAUGGCAGAGGGGGGUAGAAUUCCACGUGUAGCAGUGAAAUGCGUAGAGAUGUGGAGGAAUACCGAUGGCGAAGGCAGCCCCCUGGGCCAAUACUGACGCUCAUGCACGAAAGCGUGGGGAGCAAACAGGAUUAGAUACCCUGGUAGUCCACGCCCUAAACGAUGUCAACUAGUUGUUGGGGAUUCAUUUCCUUAGUAACGUAGCUAACGCGUGAAGUUGACCGCCUGGGGAGUACGGUCGCAAGAUUAAAACUCAAAUGAAUUGACGGGGUCAUAGCUGUUUCCU